GACGAACGUUGGCGGCGUGCUUAAUACAUGCAAGUCGACUGAAGCAGUGGUAGCAAUAUCGCUGUGGAGGUGGCGCACGGGGGAGUAACACGUAGGUAAUCUGCCUUCAGGUCUGGCAUAACUCCGUGAAACCGGGGCUAAUAGCAGAUGAUGCAGCGGCGCGACAUCGAGACAGUAGGUAAAGCUAUGUCUCCUGAACAUGAGCCUGCGUCUGAUUAGCUAGUUGGCGGGGUAACGGCCCACCAAGGCAACGAUCAGUAGCUGGUCUGAGAGGAUGAUCAGCCACACUGGAACUGAGCAGCCGUCCAGACUCGUACGGGGGGCAGCAGUAAGGAAUAUUGCUCAAUGGGAGACAUCCUGAAGCAGCGACGCCGCGUGAGGGCCGAGGAGCUUUUGCUUGUAAACCUAUGUAGUGAGAGAAAAAAAUCCAACUCUUUGGGACAUGAUGGUAUCUCAAAAGUAAGCCCCGGCUAACUACGUG
RNAcentral lists this ribosomal RNA (481 nucleotides) under uncultured bacterium. RNAcentral's name for it is "partial 16S ribosomal RNA". It matches the Rfam family "Bacterial small subunit ribosomal RNA", at positions 28 to 507 of the family's 1533-position model. The record is from RNAcentral.